UACGUAGGGAGCAAGCGUUAUCCGGAAUUAUUGGGUGUAAAGGGUGCGUAGACGGGACAGCAAGUUAGUUGUGAAAGCCCUCGGCUUAACUGAGGAACUGCAACUAAAACUAUUGUUCUUGAGUGCAGGAGAGGAAAGCGGAAUUCCUAGUGUAGCGGUGAAAUGCGUAGAUAUUAGGAGGAACACCAGUGGCGAAGGCGGCUUUCUGGACUGUAACUGACGUUGAGGCACGAAAGUGUGGGGAGCAAACA
This 251-nucleotide ribosomal RNA is filed under the name uncultured bacterium. RNAcentral describes it as "partial 16S ribosomal RNA". It matches the Rfam family "Bacterial small subunit ribosomal RNA", at positions 524 to 774 of the family's 1533-position model. The record is from RNAcentral.